GACCGUCGUAUGAAAGUACGUUUUCACCUCGGGUGACAGGGAGACAGGUGGUGCAUGGUUGUCGUCAGCUCGUGUCGUGAGAUGUUGGGUUAAGUCCCGCAACGAGCGCAACCCCUACGUUUAGUUGCUAACGCGUGAAGGCGAGCACUCUAGACGAACUGCCGUUGACAAAACGGAGGAAGGUGGGGAUGACGUCAAAUCAUCAUGCCCCUUAUGUUCUGGGCUACACACGUGCUACAAUGGCCGGUACAGACGGACGCAAAGCCGCGAGGUGGAGCAAAUCCUAAAAAGCCGGUCUCAGUCCGGAUUGAAGUCUGCAACUCGACUUCAUGAAGGCGGAAUCGCUAGUAACCGCGAAUCAGCAGGUCGCGGUGAAUACGUUCCCGGGCCUU
This 392-nucleotide ribosomal RNA is filed under the name uncultured Pelotomaculum sp. RNAcentral describes it as "bacterial SSU rRNA". It matches the Rfam family "Bacterial small subunit ribosomal RNA", at positions 993 to 1382 of the family's 1533-position model. The record is from RNAcentral. Lineage: Bacteria; Bacillati; Bacillota; Clostridia; Eubacteriales; Desulfotomaculaceae.